Etheostoma cragini (Arkansas darter) is the source of this 80-nucleotide long non-coding RNA. RefSeq lists it as uncharacterized. The transcript is spliced from 3 exons. The record is from RefSeq and is a predicted model, not a curated record. Lineage: Eukaryota; Metazoa; Chordata; Actinopteri; Perciformes; Percidae.
CAACUUCACAACCUACUCAAAUACAUCUAUUUUUGCAACAAAAUAGUCUCUCAUGUCAAUAUGUGUUGCUCUUACAAUAC